This 75-nucleotide transfer RNA is filed under the name bacterium. RNAcentral's name for it is "tRNA-Gly". It matches the Rfam family "tRNA". From Rfam's summary of the family: Transfer RNA (tRNA) molecules are approximately 80 nucleotides in length. Their secondary structure includes four short double-helical elements and three loops (D, anti-codon, and T loops). RNAcentral also lists the same sequence under 8 other names. The record is from RNAcentral.
GCGGGAAUAGCUCAGUGGUAGAGCGUCAGCCUUCCAAGCUGAGGGUCGCGGGUUCGAAUCCCGUUUCCCGCUCCA